GUGCUUGCUUCAGCGGCUCAUGUACUGAAAUUGGAACAGUGCAGAGAUUAGCCUGUCCCCUACACAAGGAGGAUGGACAGAUUUGUGAAGCGUUCCAUAUGUUU
Molecule: small nuclear RNA, 104 nt
Organism: Nannospalax galili (Upper Galilee mountains blind mole rat)
Lineage: Eukaryota; Metazoa; Chordata; Mammalia; Rodentia; Spalacidae
Source: Ensembl